Molecule: ribosomal RNA, 253 nt
Filed under: uncultured bacterium
Lineage: Bacteria
Description: partial 16S ribosomal RNA
Rfam family: Bacterial small subunit ribosomal RNA
Source: RNAcentral
GACGUAGGAUGCGAGCGUUGUCCGGAUUUAUUGGGCGUAAAGAGUUCGUAGGUGGUUCGUUAAGUCUGAUGUUAAAGACUGGGGCUCAACCCUGGGAGUGCAUUGGAUACUGGCGGACUGGAGUGCAGUAGAGGCAAGCGGAAUUCCAGGUGUAGCGGUGAAAUGCGUAGAUAUCUGGAAGAACACCGGUGGCGAAGGCGGCCUGCUGGGCAGUUGCUGACACUGAGGCGCGACAGCGUGGGGAGCAAACAGG